UCAUAAACAGCUACCUGCUUUCUUGGUC
Molecule: non-coding RNA, 28 nt
Filed under: Homo sapiens (human)
Lineage: Eukaryota; Metazoa; Chordata; Mammalia; Primates; Hominidae
Source: RNAcentral